AGACAUUUUUUGAGGCAUAUAUAUGAAAUUCAUGUUUUUAGAGUCAGAUAAUGAGGUAGACGAUAUUUGAUGAAAUCAAUUAGUUAUAUCAAUACUCCAGCUGCGACACUACAAAACCGCCAUAGCGGAAUCGAAGGUGCCUAGAAAGCAUUGCUUCAGAGGCUCCUCCUAGAAGCCGAAGAAGUCAAUCGGAUGGAGCCCUGCCAAAGCAAACUUUGCUAUACAAAUAUCUUCAGGGAUGCUAUCGAAACAUUCAUUUGCAUGACUCGUCAAAACGUCUGCCAAGAAUUCUAUCCUCAAUGAAGUUGAGAGCUGUGCACGUCAAAGCAGCAGAAGUGCUACUAUUUUGGGUUGCGACCUUCUUCUGUUGUCGGUAUUCAUGUUGUUUCUUAUUAAUCUCUUCCCUUUGUUCGAUUUUCUUAUUAAUCUCUUCCCUUUGUUCCAUGGACAUAUCAGCUCGAUGUUUCGCUGCUGCAUAUUCCUUUCAUCCCUCUUACGCGAGGCCUCAUCUAAAGUGGGCGUGUUUGGACGAUACUUUUACUCCAAUUAGUAUGGCAUUGCGUAAAGUGCAGUAUACGAAAAUAUUAUAAGCAUACAUGUGACGUUGGUGAUAUCGCUUAGUGCUCCGCGUGUAUCUCUCGACGUAGACAUUUCGCUCUGUGCUCGGCAUAUAUAUCUCGGCAUA
Molecule: long non-coding RNA, 685 nt
Organism: Sorghum bicolor (sorghum)
Lineage: Eukaryota; Viridiplantae; Streptophyta; Magnoliopsida; Poales; Poaceae
Exons: 3
Source: RefSeq, a predicted model, not a curated record